This 433-nucleotide ribosomal RNA is filed under the name uncultured bacterium. Its description in RNAcentral is "partial 16S ribosomal RNA". It matches the Rfam family "Bacterial small subunit ribosomal RNA", at positions 29 to 507 of the family's 1533-position model. The record is from RNAcentral.
AACGAACGCUGGCGGCAGGCCUAACACAUGCAAGUCGAGCGAGAUCUUCGGGUCUAGCGGCGGACGGGUGAGUACCGCGUGGGAAUAUGCCCUUCUCUGCGGAAUCGCCUCGGGAAACUGAGCGUAAUACCGCAUACGCCCUUUGGGGGAAAGAUUUAUCGGAGAAGGAUUAGCCCGCGUGGGAUUAGGUAGUUGGUGGGGUAACGGCCUACCAAGCCGACGAUCCAUAGCUGGUUUGAGAGGAUGAUCAGCCACACUGGGACUGAGACACGGCCCAGACUCCUACGGGAGGCAGCAGUGGGGAAUCUUAGACAAUGGGGGCAACCCUGAUCUAGCCAUGCCGCGUGAGUGAUGAAGGCCUUAGGGUUGUAAAGCUCUUUCAGCUGGGAAGAUAAUGACGGUACCAGCAGAAGAAGCCCCGGCUAACUCCGUG